RNAcentral lists this ribosomal RNA (494 nucleotides) under uncultured bacterium. Its description in RNAcentral is "partial 16S ribosomal RNA". It matches the Rfam family "Bacterial small subunit ribosomal RNA", at positions 28 to 507 of the family's 1533-position model. The record is from RNAcentral.
GACGAACGCUGGCGGCGUGCUUAACACAUGCAAGUCGAACGGAAAGGCCUGCUUUCCCUUGUGGAUUGCGGGUACUCGAGUGGCGAACGGGUGAGUAACACGUGAGUGAUCUGCCCCCAACUUGGGUAUAAGCCUGGGAAACUGGGUCUAAUUCCCGAUAGGACUGCAGGGUGGUGCCUGUGGUGGAAAACGAUUUUCUAGUGGUUGGGGAUGAGCUCGCGGCCUAUCAGCUUGUUGGUGGGGUAAUGGCCUACCAAGGCGGCGACGGGUAGCCGGCCUGAGAGGGUGGACGGACACAUUGGGACUGAGAUACGGCCCAGACUCCUACGGGAGGCAGCAGUGGGGAAUAUUGCACAAUGGGCGGAAGCCUGAUGCAGCGACGCCGCGUGGGGGAUGACGGCCCUCGGGUUGUAAACUCCUUUCGACCGCGAGGAAGCCACCUGGUUGGAAGGGUGGUGACGGUAGUGGUAGAAGAAGCACCGGCUAACUACGUG